RNAcentral lists this unclassified non-coding RNA (1435 nucleotides) under Hevea brasiliensis (rubber tree). Lineage: Eukaryota; Viridiplantae; Streptophyta; Magnoliopsida; Malpighiales; Euphorbiaceae. The record is from RNAcentral.
AAAACAGGGCAGGACAAAUGACAACUUGACAACUUAAGGAACAAAAGAAAGGAGCAUUUCCUCUUUAAUAUGUUCUCGUCUUGAAAAGAUACAUCACAUGGGCAGAGAUGAAACAGAGUAUGACAAGAGAAUCUACAAGAAUUCUGCAACGUACAAUUCACCAGGAUUGUUGAUACAUAGUUUUUAAUCAAUUAAAGGAGACCUUGAUGAGACUUUAUGAUGCUGGUAUAAUGAGUUCCUCUUUUUUAAGUCCUUGUGAGUCCUCGAGCUUGUUGGCCCUUGAGAUAGAUGAAUCAAAGCUUCUUAACUGUGUACUGGACAUCUCAUUUCUCAACUGUGAAGAAAUGAAAUUAAUCUUCGCUGGUCCUUCCAUUGGUCUGGGUCUUGUGCUGCCAUUCUUUGGACUUGGACCCCGUUUUCCACUCUUUAGGCCAUUGUUUCAGUAGAGCGUGCCUGUAGCUGCUUCCUAGAAUAGGAUCUAACGUGGUGCAUAUUUAUGAGAUUUGAGGCUUUGGACCUGUGGAAGAAAGAAAGUGUAGAUCUCAAAAACAUACAACCAAGCCAAUGGCAUAGGUAGGUAAUGUGCAAGAAUUCAAGAGACACAUUCAGCAAGUCUUGAGAAGGUACCGUGCUGUCACCAACAUUCCUCAAUUCUUUAUGAUACAAAAUAGGAUACAGUAUAUGGACAACCAGUGAAUUUGAAGGACUAGAUUAUGCAAGAAAUUAGGCACUGAAAAUUACAGAGGAAAUGUCUUGUGUUAUGUGAACAAGACAUUAGUGAAAAGGGUAGAGAAUUGCACAUAUGCAUUUUCUUGAUCUUCAUACUGUUUAGCGAAGGUCUAACAGGUGUGAGGCUUUUAUCAACAAUGAAUGGAUGCUGACUUAUUGACAUGCAGGAAUCACUUGAAUCACAAAAGGACAACAUGAUUUGGAAAAGGUCAAGGACAAUGCAGACAUGCGAAAUUGCACAACAUCAGAAUUGAAGUUCACAGCUUGCUGUUCGUUCUAUUCUGCAAGCUAAAAUGAUGACUAGCCUCAGGUGAAGGAGAACUUACAAACAAGAAAUGAAAUAACAAUCUGUAUUUGAUUUCACCAAAAUGCCCUGAUAGUGUAGGUCAUUGAUUUUACUGCAAGUUAGCAGCUUCAUCAAACAACCUGGAAAUCAUGUAAAAAUGUGCAAAUUAAUAUGAACAUAUAUAGGUGAUAAAUUCAUAUGCAAAAGCUAUGUAGUUCUGACUUGCAUUGAGAUAUGACAUUAUUGUAAUAUAAAUUGGAUGUUGAGAAAGGCAAACAAAAACAAAUAACAGUUAAUAUUUUUGUCACACUUUUUACCUCUAGAUGUUAAGCUUUAAUUUUUCUCAUUCUUCCUCUUCAGUGGUGGUAUCUGGAAGACUAGAGGAAUCUGGGCUAGUUCUGAGUCUUCUGACUUCUCUUU